GACGAACGCUGGCGGCGUGCUUAACACAUGCAAGUCGAACGGAAACGCGCUGCUCUUGUACCCUGCUCGCGUGCCGCGCACGUGUGUAACACGUGUGUAACCUUCCCUUGACUUUGGGAUAACUUCCGCGAACUGGUACUAAUUCCCGCUAGGAGCUCCUGCUGCAUAGUGUUUGUUGGAAUGUUUCGGCGGUUGGGGAUGGACUCGCGGCUUAUCAGCUUGUUGGUGUGGUAGUGGCCUACCAAGGCUUGGACGGGUAGCCGGCCUGAGCGGGGUACCGGACACAUUGGGACUGAGAUACGGCCCAGACUCCUAUGGGAGGCAGCAGAGGAGAAUAUUGCACAAUGGGAGGAAGCAUGAUGCAGCAACGCAGCGUGCGGGAUAAGGGCAUUCGGGUUGUAAACCGCUCUCGCCUGAGACGAAGCGAGAGUGACGGUAAUGGGUAAAGAAGCACCGGCUAACUACGUG
This 468-nucleotide ribosomal RNA is filed under the name uncultured bacterium. RNAcentral's name for it is "partial 16S ribosomal RNA". It matches the Rfam family "Bacterial small subunit ribosomal RNA", at positions 28 to 507 of the family's 1533-position model. The record is from RNAcentral.